CCUACGGUGCGCAGCAGUGAGGAAUAUUGGUCAAUGGGCGAGAGCCUGAACCAGCCAAGUCGCGUGAGGGAAGACGGUCCUAUGGAUUGUAAACCUCUUUUGUCGGGGAGCAAAAAGGCCUCGUGAGGCCACAAGUGAGAGUACCCGAAGAAAAAGCAUCGGCUAACUUCGUGCCAGCAGCCGCGGUAAUACGGAGGAUGCGAGCGUUAUCCGGAUUUAUUGGGUUUAAAGGGUGCGUAGGCGGACUGGAAAGUCAGCGGUAAAAUCGAGAGGCUCAACCUCUUUCCGCCGUUGAAAACGGCGGUCUUGAGUGGGCUAGAAGUAGGCAGAAUGCGUGGGGUAGCGGUGAAAGGCAUAGAUAUCA
This 364-nucleotide ribosomal RNA is filed under the name uncultured bacterium. RNAcentral describes it as "partial 16S ribosomal RNA". It matches the Rfam family "Bacterial small subunit ribosomal RNA", at positions 338 to 699 of the family's 1533-position model. The record is from RNAcentral.